This 567-nucleotide ribosomal RNA is filed under the name Stenotrophomonas sp. X277. Its description in RNAcentral is "bacterial SSU rRNA". It matches the Rfam family "Bacterial small subunit ribosomal RNA", at positions 161 to 723 of the family's 1533-position model. The record is from RNAcentral. Lineage: Bacteria; Pseudomonadati; Pseudomonadota; Gammaproteobacteria; Lysobacterales; Lysobacteraceae.
CGCUAAUACCGCAUACGACCUACGGGUGAAAGCAGGGGAUCUUCGGACCUUGCGCGAUUGAAUGAGCCGAUGUCGGAUUAGCUAGUUGGCGGGGUAAAGGCCCACCAAGGCGACGAUCCGUAGCUGGUCUGAGAGGAUGAUCAGCCACACUGGAACUGAGACACGGUCCAGACUCCUACGGGAGGCAGCAGUGGGGAAUAUUGGACAAUGGGCGCAACUGAAUCCAGCCAUACCGCGUGGGUGAAGAAGGCCUUCGGGUUGUAAAGCCCUUUUGUUGGGAAAGAAAUCCAGCUGGUUAAUACCCGGUUGGGAUGACGGUACCCAAAGAAUAAGCACCGGCUAACUUCGUGCCAGCAGCCGCGGUAAUACGAAGGGUGCAAGCGUUACUCGGAAUUACUGGGCGUAAAGCGUGCGUAGGUGGUCGUUUAAGUCCGUUGUGAAAGCCCUGGGCUCAACCUGGGAACUGCAGUGGAUACUGGACCGACUAGAGUGUGGUAGAGGGUAGCGGAAUUCCUGGUGUAGCAGUGAAAUGCGUAGAGAUCAGGAGGAACAUCCAUGGCGAAGGCA